AGAGCGGCGUGNACGCGCGAUGUANUANGUGACCGNAGCGUAAUCCUGCCAUGGNUAGNUNNGGGAUAACGCUUCGGAAACGGACGCCUAAUACCGCAUACGCUCCUACGGNAGAAAGCAGGGGACCUUCGGGCCUUGCGCUAUCAGAUGAGCCUACGUCGGAUUANCUAGUUGGUGGGGUAAUGGCUCACCAAGGCGACGAUCCGUAACUGGUCUGANAGGAUGAUCAGUCACACUGGAACUGANACACGGUCCAGACUCCUACGGGAGGCAGCAGUGGGGAAUAUUGGACAAUGGGCGAAAGCCUGAUCCAGCCAUGCCGCGUGUGUGAAGAAGGUCUUCGGAUUGUAAAGCACUUUAAGUUGGGAGGAAGGGCAGUUACCUAAUACGUGAUUGUUUUGACGUUACCGACAGAAUAAGCACCGGCUAACUCUGUGCCAGCAGCCGCGGUAAUACAGAGGGUGCAAGCGUUAAUCGGAAUUACUGGGCGUAAAGCGCGCGUAGGUGGUUUGUUAAGUUGGAUGUGAAAUCCCCGGGCUCAACCUGGGAACUGCAUUCAAAACUGACUGACUANAGUAUGGUAGAGGGUGGUGGAAUUUC
Molecule: ribosomal RNA, 600 nt
Filed under: Pseudomonas sp.
Lineage: Bacteria; Pseudomonadati; Pseudomonadota; Gammaproteobacteria; Pseudomonadales; Pseudomonadaceae
Description: partial 16S ribosomal RNA
Rfam family: Bacterial small subunit ribosomal RNA
Source: RNAcentral